RNAcentral lists this non-coding RNA (98 nucleotides) under Levilactobacillus paucivorans. RNAcentral's name for it is "Lactobacillus paucivorans THF-I sequence". It matches the Rfam family "THF (Tetrahydrofolate) riboswitch aptamer". From Rfam's summary of the family: THF riboswitch presents a pseudoknot that joins P1-P2 and the loop of P3 and two THF binding. The record is from RNAcentral. Lineage: Bacteria; Bacillati; Bacillota; Bacilli; Lactobacillales; Lactobacillaceae.
UACGGAGUAGGAAAUAAGGCGUCAAGUGCCGGUGGAACGCAAUGUGAACACCGGACGAAGGGAAUGUGUCCCGCGAUCUUAUUUCCGCAUUGACCGCA